UACAGAGGUCCCGAGCGUUGUUCGGAUUUAUUGGGCGUAAAGGGUGCGUAGGCGGCGGAGUAAGUUGGGUGUGAAAUCCCGAGGCUCAACCUCGGAAUUGCAUUCAAUACUGCUUCGCUCGAGUACUGGAGAGGAGGCUGGAAUUUACGGUGUAGCAGUGAAAUGCGCAGAUAUCGGGAAGAACACCCGUGGCGAAGGCGGUUCUCUGGGACGGUACUGACGCUGAGACGCGAAAGCGUGGGGAGCGAACAGG
Molecule: ribosomal RNA, 253 nt
Filed under: uncultured bacterium
Lineage: Bacteria
Description: partial 16S ribosomal RNA
Rfam family: Bacterial small subunit ribosomal RNA
Source: RNAcentral